GACGAACGCUGGCGGCGUGCUUAACACAUGCAAGUCGAACGGUGAAGCUCCAGCUUGCUGGAGUGGAUCAGUGGCGAACGGGUGAGUAACACGUGAGCAACCUGCCCCUGACUCUGGAAUAAGCGCUGGAAACGCCGUCUAAUACUGGAUAUGAGAAGGGUCCGCAUGGACACUUUCUGGAAAGUUUUUCGGUUGGGGAUGGGCUCGCGGCCUAUCAGCUUGUUGGUGAGGUAAUGGCUCACCAAGGCGACGACGGGUAGCCGGCCUGAGAGGGCGACCGGCCACACUGGGACUGAGACACGGCCCAGACUCCUACGGGAGGCAGCAGUGGGGAAUAUUGCACAAUGGGCGAAAGCCUGAUGCAGCGACGCCGCGUGAGGGAUGACGGCCUUCGGGUUGUAAACCUCUUUCAGCAGGGAAGAAGCGAAAGUGACGGUACCUGCAGAAGAAGCACCGGCUAACUACGUG
This 468-nucleotide ribosomal RNA is filed under the name uncultured bacterium. RNAcentral describes it as "partial 16S ribosomal RNA". It matches the Rfam family "Bacterial small subunit ribosomal RNA", at positions 28 to 507 of the family's 1533-position model. The record is from RNAcentral.